GAUGAACGCUGGCGGCGUGCUUAACACAUGCAAGUCGAACGAUGAAGCCCAGCUUGCUGGGUGGAUUAGUGGCGAACGGGUGAGUAACACGUGAGUAACCUGCCCUUAACUCUUGGGAUAAGCCUGGGAAACUGGGUCUAAUACCGGAUAGGAGCGCCUACCGCAUGGUGGGUGUUGGAAAGAUUUAUCGGUUUUGGAUGGACUCGCGGCCUAUCAGCUUGUUGGUGAGGUAAUGGCUCACCAAGGCGACGACGGGUAGCCGGCCUGAGAGGGUGACCGGCCACACUGGGACUGAGACACGGCCCAGACUCCUACGGGAGGCAGCAGUGGGAAUAUUGCACAAUGGGCGCAAGCCUGAUGCAGCGACGCCGCGUGAGGGAUGACGGCCUUUCGGGUUGUAAACCUCUUUCAGUAGGGAAGAAGCGAAAGUGACGUACCUGCAGAAGAAGCACCGCUAAUAC
Molecule: ribosomal RNA, 461 nt
Filed under: Micrococcus sp. oral taxon B64
Lineage: Bacteria; Bacillati; Actinomycetota; Actinomycetes; Micrococcales; Micrococcaceae
Description: bacterial SSU rRNA
Rfam family: Bacterial small subunit ribosomal RNA
Source: RNAcentral